CCUACGGGAGGCAGCAGUGGGGAAUCUUGCGCAAUGGGCGAAAGCCUGACGCAGCCAUGCCGCGUGAAUGAUGAAGGUCUUAGGAUUGUAAAAUUCUUUCACCGGGGACGAUAAUGACGGUACCCGGAGAAGAAGCCCCGGCUAACUUCGUGCCAGCAGCCGCGGUAAUACGAAGGGGGCUAGCGUUGCUCGGAAUUACUGGGCGUAAGGGAGCGUAGGCGGAUAGUUUAGUCAGAGGUGAAAGCCCAGGGCUCAACCUUGGAAUUGCCCUUGAUACUGGCUAUCUUGAGUACGGAAGAGGUAUGUGGAACUCCGAGUGUAGAGGUGAAAUUCGUAGAUAUUCGGAAGAACACCAGUGGCGAAGGCGACAUACUGGUCCGUUACUGACGCUGAGGCUCGAAAGCGUGGGGAGCAAACAGGAUUAGAUACCCUGGUAGUCCACGCUGUAAACGAUGAGUGCUAGUUGUCGGCAUGCAUGCAUGUCGGUGACGCAGCUAACGCAUUAAGCACUCCGCCUGGGGAGUACGGUCGCAAGAUUAAAACUCAAAAGAGUAGUACGCGUGAGAGUCGCGACGAGACCACGACGGGAGGAGG
RNAcentral lists this ribosomal RNA (594 nucleotides) under uncultured bacterium. RNAcentral describes it as "bacterial SSU rRNA". It matches the Rfam family "Bacterial small subunit ribosomal RNA", at positions 338 to 1363 of the family's 1533-position model. The record is from RNAcentral.